RNAcentral lists this ribosomal RNA (448 nucleotides) under uncultured Shewanellaceae bacterium. RNAcentral's name for it is "bacterial SSU rRNA". It matches the Rfam family "Bacterial small subunit ribosomal RNA", at positions 1084 to 1532 of the family's 1533-position model. The record is from RNAcentral. Lineage: Bacteria; Pseudomonadati; Pseudomonadota; Gammaproteobacteria; Alteromonadales; Shewanellaceae.
GUAGCCGCACGAGCGCACCCCUAUCCUUAUUUGCCAGCACGUAAUGGUGGGAACUCUANCGAUACUGCCGGUGAUAAACCGGAGGAAGGUGGGGACGACGUCNAGUCAUCAUGGCCCUUACGAGUAGGGCUACACACGUGCUACAAUGGCGUAUACAGAGGGUUGCAAAGCCGCGAGGUGGAGCUAAUCUCACAAAGUACGUCGUAGUCCGGAUCGGAGUCUGCAACUCGACUCCGUGAAGUCGGAAUCGCUAGUAAUCGUGGAUCAGAAUGCCACGGUGAAUACGUUCCCGGGCCUUGUACACACCGCCCGUCACACCAUGGGAGUGGGCUGCAAAAGAAGUGGGUAGUUUAACCUUCGGGAGAACGCUCACCACUUUGUGGUUCAUGACUGGGGUGAAGUCGUAACAAGGUAGCCCUAGGGGAACCUGGGGCUGGAUCACCUCCUU